UACGGAGGAUGCAAGCGUUAUCCGGAAUGAUUGGGCGUAAAGCGUCCGCAGGUGGCAGUUCAAGUCUGCUGUCAAAGACCGGGGCUUAACUUCGGAAAGGCAGUGGAAACUAAACAGCUAGAGUAUGGUAGGGGCAGAGGGAAUUCCUGGUGUAGCGGUGAAGUGCGUAGAGAUCAGGAAGAACAUCGGUGGCGAAGGCGCUCUGCUGGACCAUAACUGACACUCAGGGACGAAAGCUAGGGGAGCGAAUGGG
Molecule: ribosomal RNA, 253 nt
Filed under: uncultured bacterium
Lineage: Bacteria
Description: partial 16S ribosomal RNA
Rfam family: Bacterial small subunit ribosomal RNA
Source: RNAcentral